GACGAACGCUGGCGGCGUGCUUAACACAUGCAAGUCGAGCGGAAAGGCCCUUUCGGGGGUACUCGAGCGGCGAACGGGGGAGUAACACGUGAGUAAUCUGCCCUUGGCUUUGGGAUAACCACCGGAAACGGUGGCUAAUACCGGAUAUGACGCGCCCCGGCAUCGGGGUGUGGGGAAAGUUUUUUCGGCCAGGGAUGUGCUCGCGGCCUAUCAGCUUGUUGGUGGGGUAAUGGCCUACCAAGGCUUCGACGGGUAGCCGGCCUGAGAGGGUGACCGGCCACACUGGGACUGAGACACGGCCCAGACUCCUACGGGAGGCAGCAGUGGGGAAUAUUGGACAAUGGGCGGAAGCCUGAUCCAGCAACGCCGCGUGAGGGAUGACGGCCUUCGGGUUGUAAACCUCUUUCAGUACCGACGAAGCGCCGAUGAUGGUGGUGACGGUAGGUACAGAAGAAGCACCGGCCAACUACGUGCCAGCCGCCGCGGUAA
RNAcentral lists this ribosomal RNA (489 nucleotides) under uncultured bacterium. Its description in RNAcentral is "partial 16S ribosomal RNA". It matches the Rfam family "Bacterial small subunit ribosomal RNA", at positions 28 to 523 of the family's 1533-position model. The record is from RNAcentral.